This 69-nucleotide transfer RNA is filed under the name Ictidomys tridecemlineatus (thirteen-lined ground squirrel). RNAcentral's name for it is "Spermophilus tridecemlineatus (thirteen-lined ground squirrel) tRNA". It matches the Rfam family "tRNA". Rfam says of the family: Transfer RNA (tRNA) molecules are approximately 80 nucleotides in length. Their secondary structure includes four short double-helical elements and three loops (D, anti-codon, and T loops). Lineage: Eukaryota; Metazoa; Chordata; Mammalia; Rodentia; Sciuridae. The record is from Rfam by way of RNAcentral.
GGGGUUGUGGCUCAGUGCUACAGUGCUCGCCUGGUAUGUGAGAGGCCCUGGGUUCGAUUCUCAGCACCA